This 245-nucleotide ribosomal RNA is filed under the name uncultured bacterium. RNAcentral's name for it is "partial 16S ribosomal RNA". It matches the Rfam family "Bacterial small subunit ribosomal RNA", at positions 15 to 249 of the family's 1533-position model. The record is from RNAcentral.
GAUCAUGGCUCAGGAUGAACGCUAGCUACAGGCUUAACACAUGCAAGUCGAGGGGCAGCAUUUUAGUUUGCUUGCAAACUGAAGAUGGCGACCGGCGCACGGGUGAGUAACACGUAUCCAACCUGCCGAUAACUCCGGAAUAGCCUUUCGAAAGAAAGAUUAGUACCGGAUAGCAUACGAAUAUCGCAUGAUAUUUUUAUUAAAGAAUUUCGGUUAUCGAUGGGGAGUGCGUUCCAUUAGUUUGG